This 486-nucleotide ribosomal RNA is filed under the name uncultured bacterium. RNAcentral describes it as "partial 16S ribosomal RNA". It matches the Rfam family "Bacterial small subunit ribosomal RNA", at positions 28 to 507 of the family's 1533-position model. The record is from RNAcentral.
GACGAACGCUGGCGGCGUGCUUAACACAUGCAAGUCGAACGCUGAAGACCUGGCUUUUGUUGGGUUGGAUGAGUGGCGAACGGGUGAGUAACACGUGAGUAACCUGCCCUCUUCUUUGGGAUAACGCCCGGAAACGGGUGCUAAUACUGGAUAUUCACUGAUCUUCGCAUGGGGGUUGGUGGAAAGGUUUGUUCUGGUGGGGGAUGGGCUCGCGGCCUAUCAGCUUGUUGGUGGGGUGAUGGCCUACCAAGGCUUUGACGGGUAGCCGGCCUGGGAGGGUGACCGGUCACAUUGGGACUGAGAUACGGCCCAGACUCCUACGGGAGGCAGCAGUGGGGAAUAUUGCACAAUGGGCGAAAGCCUGAUGCAGCGACGCCGCGUGAGGGAUGGAGGCCUUCGGGUUGUAAACCUCUUUCGCUCAUGGUCAAGCCGCAACUGUGGGUUGUGGUGAGGGUAGUGGGUAAAGAAGCGCCGGCUAACUACGUG